GGGGGCGAAAGGAUUUCGACAGGGUACUUGAAUCUUGGUCAGCGGGUAGCGGAGUUGCACCGCUUUAAAAGUAACAACUUAAAAUUAACUGACAAUAAUAAAUCAGUAGCUCUUGCUGCUUAAUUAGCGGCUUGUGCUCCUUCUGAGAGUGCCGCGGCUCAGAACGGAGUAUCGACUCAGCGGCGAACAUGAACGGAAGAGCGUCUCGGCUUCCGUCAGGUAUCAGAGAAUACCGUAACCCGAAGGUUGUUUAUCACCGUCGGGCGAGGGGAAUCAUAAACGAUAAACUACACCCGUAGAGCCCUUGACAAGGGUGUUCUGGACGUGGGUUCGACUCCCACCGCUUCCACCA
This 352-nucleotide transfer-messenger RNA is filed under the name Acutalibacteraceae. RNAcentral describes it as "Eubacterium_R sp902791235 Standard tmRNA". It matches the Rfam family "transfer-messenger RNA". Rfam says of the family: Bacterial tmRNA, also known as 10Sa RNA or SsrA, is named for its dual tRNA and mRNA-like properties. Its role is to liberate the mRNA from a stalled ribosome. The record is from RNAcentral. Lineage: Bacteria; Bacillati; Bacillota; Clostridia; Eubacteriales. RNAcentral also lists the same sequence under 1 other name.